AUUGGAUGGCGCUGUUCACUCACAAAUCUCUUAUAUUUCAAGUGCAGCUCCACCUAAUGAGUGAUUGAAGCCAGUGCACAAUCACAUCUUCCAUUUUGGAGUAUUAUAUCUGUUCCUUUUUUAUGUCAGUUAUGUUUAAUUACAUUGUAUAUAUUUAGGUGCCUAUAGCUGUAUAAUAUUUUAAAAAGUGGAUUGUUUUUGCUUUCCCUCCAAUAUAUGGUAAUAUUUAGCAAUGCAAUUUCUUUUCCUGAUUAAAAUGGGUUUAUUUAUCCGCCAUAACAGGAAGAAAUGAAUUUCAAGUGGGAAAACCUGUGGAAAGACCAACGUUUCCUUUCUUCGUCAUUUGCCGUGUCAUUUCUCUGUUCCUUGUGACAGAUGCCCGAGGAGCCAUUGAGGAAACGGGAGCUGACUUCAUUGUGAGCUGAUGAAAGAGACAGACCUUGGCCUCCCAGAAGGAGUGAUUCUAUGAGGCGACUUGAAGAGGGAUAGUACCAUACAGAAGAAUAUUGGGAGAUAUCAGCUCACUUCCGGGAGAUCACUUCCGGCGCUUUCCGCGCUUGCGCAGACUAAGCCAGAAUGCGAGCACACGUCACACACCAGAUAGCAUGCAUACCCUCAGAUCACUUGGACGUGGUUGUGUACAAGAGGUAAAAACUAUAUAAAUACUGUUCAUUUUCUUACACAAACCGCUCGUUUCGUGUCUUAG
Molecule: long non-coding RNA, 706 nt
Filed under: Carassius auratus (goldfish)
Lineage: Eukaryota; Metazoa; Chordata; Actinopteri; Cypriniformes; Cyprinidae
Description: lncRNA (ENSCARG00000055307.1)
Source: RNAcentral